GGUCUCAUCGUCUAGCGGUUAGGACGCUGCCCUCUCACGGCGGAAACGCGGGUUCGAUCCCCGCUGGGACUACCA
Molecule: transfer RNA, 75 nt
Filed under: Agrobacterium rubi
Lineage: Bacteria; Pseudomonadati; Pseudomonadota; Alphaproteobacteria; Hyphomicrobiales; Rhizobiaceae
Description: tRNA-Glu
Rfam family: tRNA
About the family: Transfer RNA (tRNA) molecules are approximately 80 nucleotides in length. Their secondary structure includes four short double-helical elements and three loops (D, anti-codon, and T loops). Further hydrogen bonds mediate the characteristic L-shaped molecular structure. tRNAs have two regions of fundamental functional importance: the anti-codon, which is responsible for specific mRNA codon recognition, and the 3' end, to which the tRNAs corresponding amino acid is attached (by aminoacyl-tRNA synthetases). tRNAs cope with the degeneracy of the genetic code in two manners: having more than one tRNA (with a specific anti-codon) for a particular amino acid; and 'wobble' base-pairing, i.e. permitting non-standard base-pairing at the 3rd anti-codon position.
Source: RNAcentral